CAAGGAGCAAUUGCUGACCCUGCGAGCGGGAAUUGCAAGAGGAGGAGAAACCGGGGCAGCAGAGAGGUAGAGGCAAGGGAAAAUUAGAGCUAAGCGGGGCAAUGGGAAGGCGGAUUCAAGAACAUGUGGAGAAUGGCGCACCUACUUCUUUCUGUUGGCGCUGCUUUUCCGUUGCUGCUCUUCUUGUGAUGUGGCUCUUGUGGAAUGGCAGUGGAGUGCAGAUCUAGCUGAGUAGCUGACACUAAGUGUUGAAAGCUCAACCACAGGUGGGAUAGAGACCAAUAUCAGAAAGAGACAAUAGGUUAACCAUCUGGCAUGUCGAGACCAUCCAAGAACUGGCCGCUAGCCGAACUGCCUUCAAUGCAAGUGAUAUCCAAGGUAGAUGGCACAUUAGACCCUGUAAUAUAGGAGGACAUUUGAAUAUAAAUAGCAUCAGACCUAGAGAAUCUAUCAAGGAGAAAUUCACAUUUAAUGUAGUUUUUUUUGGCUUGUUUGUAUAGUUGUUCACGUGUUAUUUGAAAGUAGAAUUACAUACAUAUGUGAACAAUGUAAUUUAAGAAUAACACCGUGCCAUUUAGUAAAACACACAAAGUAACUUAUAUGUUCACUCUUGCUUAUUUAUUACUAUCAUA
This is a long non-coding RNA of Lolium rigidum, 632 nucleotides long. RefSeq lists it as uncharacterized. The record is from RefSeq and is a predicted model, not a curated record. NCBI's taxonomy places the organism in Eukaryota, Viridiplantae, Streptophyta, Magnoliopsida, Poales, Poaceae. The transcript has 3 exons.